RNAcentral lists this non-coding RNA (80 nucleotides) under Methyloglobulus morosus KoM1. RNAcentral's name for it is "Methylococcaceae bacterium KoM1 c-di-GMP-I riboswitch aptamer". It matches the Rfam family "c-di-GMP-I riboswitch aptamer". Rfam says of the family: GEMM was predicted in a large-scale screen for bacterial structured RNA regulatory elements. Genes associated with GEMM are involved in a diverse array of functions, including chemotaxis regulation, signal transduction, secretion and chitin. Lineage: Bacteria; Pseudomonadati; Pseudomonadota; Gammaproteobacteria; Methylococcales; Methylococcaceae. RNAcentral also lists the same sequence under 1 other name. The record is from Rfam by way of RNAcentral.
UCUCCACAGGGCUACACCUACUGCGAAGUAGGGUCGGAAAGCUCCGGGUCUUUACCAAUAAAGAUGGCUGAGUUGCAAAU